Molecule: ribosomal RNA, 591 nt
Filed under: uncultured cyanobacterium
Lineage: Bacteria; Bacillati; Cyanobacteriota
Description: bacterial SSU rRNA
Rfam family: Bacterial small subunit ribosomal RNA
Source: RNAcentral
AGUCGAACGAAUCCCUUCGGGGAUGAGUGGCGGACGGGUGAGUAACGCGUGAGAAUCUACCAAAAGGACUGGGACAACCACUGGAAACGGUGGCUAAUACCGGAUGAGCCGCAACGUAAAAGAGGAAACUCGCCUUUUGAAGAGCUCGCGUCUGAUUAGCUAGUUGGUGAGGUAAAGGCUCACCAAGGCGGCGAUCAGUAGCUGGUCUGAGAGGAUGACCAGCCACACUGGGACUGAGACACGGCCCAGACUCCUACGGGAGGCAGCAGUGGGGAAUUUUCCGCAAUGGGCGAAAGCCUGACGGAGCAAGACCGCGUGAGGGAGGAAGGCUCUUGGGUUGUAAACCUCUUUUGUCAGGGAAGAACACAAUGACGGUACCUGAAGAAUCAGCAUCGGCUAACUCCGUGCCAGCAGCCGCGGUAAUACGGAGGAUGCAAGCGUUAUCCGGAAUUAUUGGGCGUAAAGCGUCCGCAGGUGGCACUUCAAGUCUGCUGUCAAAGACCGGGGCUUAACCCUGGAAAGGCAGUGGAAACUGAAGCGCUAGAGUGUGGCAGGGGUAGAGGGAAUUCCCGGUGUAGCGGUGAAAUGCGU